UAGUAAUAAUCGUGGAUCAGAAUGCCACGGUGAAUACGUUCCCGGGCCUUGUACACACCGCCCGUCACACCAUGGGAGUGGGUUGCAAAAGAAGUAGGUAGCUUAACCUUCGGGAGGGCGCUUACCACUUUGUGAUUCAUGACUGGGGUGAAGUCGUAACAAGGUAACCGUAGGGGAACCUGCGGUUGGAUCACCUCCUUA
Molecule: ribosomal RNA, 201 nt
Filed under: Salmonella enterica
Lineage: Bacteria; Pseudomonadati; Pseudomonadota; Gammaproteobacteria; Enterobacterales; Enterobacteriaceae
Description: partial 16S ribosomal RNA
Rfam family: Bacterial small subunit ribosomal RNA
Source: RNAcentral